ACCGGCGCACGGGUGCGUAACGCGUAUGCAACCUGCCCAUUCCCGGGGGAUAGCCCGCCGAAAGGCGGAUUAAUACCCCAUGGCCCCUAAUGCCCGCAUGGGCGGUAGGGUAAAGCUCCGGCGGGAAUGGAUGGGCAUGCGUGCCAUUAGCUGGUUGGUGGGGUAACGGCCCACCAAGGCUACGAUGGCUAGGGGGUCUGAGAGGAUGGUCCCCCACACUGGUACUGAGACACGGACCAGACUCCUACGGGAGGCAGCAGUGAGGAAUAUUGGUCAAUGGGCGGAAGCCUGAACCAGCCAUGCCGCGUGCAGGACGACGGCCCUACGGGUUGUAAACUGCUUUUCCGGGGGAAGAAUAAGGCCCAUGCGUGGGCCGAUGCCGGUACCCCGGGAAUAAGGAUCGGCUAACUCCGUGCCAGCAGCCGCGGUAAUACGGAGGAUCCUAGCGUUAUCCGGAUUUACUGGGUUUAAAGGGUGCGUAGGCGGGCGUUUAAGUCCGCGGUGAAAGUCUGCGGCUCAACCGUAGGACUGCCGUGGAUACUGGGCGCCUUGAAUUCGGUCGAGGCGGGCGGAAUGCGUGGUGUAGCGGUGAAAUGCUUAGAUAUCACGCAGAACGCCGAUAGCGAAGGCAGCUCGCCGGGCCGAUAUUGACGCUGAGGCACGAAAGCGUGGGGAUCAAACAGGAUUAGAUACCCUGGUAGUCCACGCCGGGAACGAUGAUGGCUGGGUGUUGGCGAUACACCGUCAGCGCCUGAGGGAAACCAUAA
RNAcentral lists this ribosomal RNA (767 nucleotides) under uncultured bacterium. RNAcentral describes it as "bacterial SSU rRNA". It matches the Rfam family "Bacterial small subunit ribosomal RNA", at positions 94 to 862 of the family's 1533-position model. The record is from RNAcentral.